RNA transcript from Aethalodelphis obliquidens (Pacific white-sided dolphin), 4596 nucleotides. It is a transcript of the gene named laccase domain multifunctional purine nucleosidase 1, with no coding region annotated. The record is from RefSeq and is a predicted model, not a curated record. The transcript is spliced from 13 exons. NCBI's taxonomy places the organism in Eukaryota, Metazoa, Chordata, Mammalia, Artiodactyla, Delphinidae.
GCCCACCGAGUGUGCAGCGGAAGGCGACGCGCGACGGGCGAGGACGGAGAACGGCCUCGGGUGUGCGUCCGGCCGUCGGAAAAUCUCGAAGGGGCGGGAGGAGUCCGGCAGGUGAUUUUGGGGGGCACAAAAACCUUCUUUGAAGAACUUUGUACAGUGUUGAAGGAUGGCAGAAGCAGUGUUGAUAGAUCUCUUUGGUUUGAAAUUAAACUCUCAGAAAAACUGUCAUCAGACAUUACUAAUGACAUUGAAUGCUGUCCGAAACCACCAUGGUGCCAAGGCCAAGUUCCUUUGCAUAAUGUGUUGCAGUAACAUCAGCUGUGACCAUGAUGAUUGUGAAUUAGAAACAAGCAAUGGAUUAUCUGCUUUCCUGAGAGAAUUUGAGACUGUUAGCAAUUCCAGCAUGGCUGCCUCAUUGUAUACCAUUAAACAAAAAAUUGAUGAAAAAAAUUUGAGCAGCAUUAAGGUAAUUGUGCCUGUGCACCGGAAGACAUUAAUGAAGGCUUUUAUUGGUCAACUCUUCACUGAUGUUUACAAUUUUGAGUUUGAAGAUUUACAGAUGACUUUGAGAGGAGGUCUUUUGAAACAGCCUACUGAAAUAAACAUAAUCACAGCUCAAGAACUAGAGGCAAUCCGGAAUGAAAUAGAAACAUAUUUGAGAAGUUUGCCAACACUGAAAGGAGAAUUAACCAUUAUCACAUCUCCUUUGAUCCCAGAUAUUUUCAUACAUGGAUUUACUACAAGAACAGGUGGGAUAUCUUACAUACCAACUCUUAGCUCAUUCAAUCUCUUCAGUAGUUCCAAACGGAGAGAUCCCAAGGCUGUUGUUCAAGAAAAUCUGCGUAGGCUGGGGAAUGCAGCAGGAUUUAACGUGAAGAAAUUUUACCGGAUAAAGACUGAUCAUGCCAAUGAUGUCUGGAUUAUGGGAAGGAAGGAGCCUGAAUCUUACGAUGGAAUCACCACAAAUCAAAGAGGAGUCACAAUAGCGGCUCUUGGUGCUGACUGUAUACCGAUAGUUUUUGCCGAUCCUGUCAGAAAAGCAUGUGGGGUUGCUCACUCUGGUUGGAGAGGUACUUUGUUAGGUGUUGCUAUGGCUACAGUGAAUGCUAUGAUAGCAGAAUACGGCUGUAGUUUGGAAGACAUUAUUGUCGUACUGGGGCCUUCAGUAGGACCUUGCUGUUUUACUCUUCCAAGGGAAUCAGCAAAGGCAUUUCAUAAUCUUGAUCCCGGAUGUGUACGGCUCUUUGGCUCACCAAAUCCCUAUGUUGACAUCCGUAAAGCCACGAGGAUUCUUCUAGAACAGGGAGGAAUUCUACCACAGAAUAUUCAGGACCAGAACCAAGAUCUGAAACUCUGUACCUCCUGUCAUCCUGACAAGUUUUUCUCCCAUGUCCGAGAUGGCCUUAACUUUGGUACACAGAUUGGCUUCAUAUCAAUUAGAGAAUGAGAUGAAGGGAGACUCAAAAUUAUUAUGCCAAAGAUGUAAUUCAUCUCUGAUUUCACGUCAAAGCUUUUAGCACCCUGGGGAGUUAAGACUGGAAUCUCGAAUCUCUGCCUUGACAGCCCUCUUUCUGCCAUAUGACGAACUUGAAUUAUGGAUAUUGGGGAAGAAGACUGCAGAGGUGAAGUCAUGUCAAGGAGAUUCUACAUACACCAACACUGAGACCCAGAGGUCUGGUGACUUUCUUAGGUCACCCCACAGUUAAUAAUACGGAACUGGAUGCCUACUCACUUGACCUUCGACCUUCAGAGCAAGAAGUACAGUAGAGGCUCCAGGGAUAAGUGGCGAGGUCACAUUUCUUCUGAGAUAAUUCCUUUGGCUUCUCCUUUAAGUCAAGUCAAGCUCUGACUCCUGAUGCUCUGAGCUUGUGGUAGCCCUAAAAGGGUUGCCAAUUCACUCUUACAACUUUGCCCCAGGCUGAGGAAAGAACUGACUCCAAAAUGUGUUCUGACAAUGACAUCGUCACAAAGGUGUUGAUCAAGAGAACCUCUAAUAAACUUCCUACAUGCAAACCACUCCUCAGUCUCUGGUUCCUGGGGAACCUAACUUGCAGCAGUGUUAGGAAAAAAAUGAAACAGGGAAAUGGAAUAAAUAUCAGAUAUCAGGAGGGGCUGCCUAGUUAAGAUGGUCAGGUAGGACUCCUCCAAGAAGUUGAUAUUUGAGCCGAUGUGUGAAUGAGAAGGGGCACAGAAAGAUCUGGGGGGGCGGGUAGCCUCCCAGACAGAGGAAAGUAUGAAGACCCUGAGGGGAGAAUGAGUUGGACGUGUUCCAGAAAAAAAGGAAGGCCAGUGUUACGUGUGAUAAAUGAAAAACAGGCCGGUAGAAAAAGCUGCUGGAUCAUGGAGUUUGAACUUUAUUCUAAAUACAAGAUGCACAGCUCUUCCUGAUAUUGAGAACUGAGAGAAACAUCUCCUGUGAUUUCCCAAGGAGAACAAUAAUUUCUGUGAUAAAUAAAAUGGCAAGUGUAGAAUGACUUCCUCUUCUUACCUCCCUGGAUGCAGGUCAAACAGGCCCAAUGCCAAAGCAUAGCUAGUGUACAAGGGACCAAAGCAAUGAAAUCAAAAGCAAUAUUUUUCUUCCUUAGCUCUUUUAGAUUCAAGAGGAAGGAGUGGAUUCCUAUAGCCUUAUGGUAAUCUUCCAUGAAUGACAUUUCUUAAAACUAAGCUUUUUAUUUAAAAAAAAGUUCCACAGAGAACUUCACAGUAUAUUGUCUAUUUACCUAACCUCCAGGUUACUGACAAAGGGAAGUGCCCUACAUAUAUUUUAAGAAUAAACUGAGAGAAAGGCAGGUUUGACAUCUCCUUAUGACAUUUUAUGAAUAAUAUGGGGUCUAACCAGGGGCCAGCCCCAGCUUCACACAGGGGUUGGGUAGAGGAUGUACCCUUAGGCAGGGCCAAGAUCUUCCCCAGAAAGUAGUUAAUUGUUUAACUUGAACACACAGACAACUCAGGCCUAGAAGCAUUAUGGGUUAAUACAUGUUCACAAAAUUUUCACUGGAAAAUAUUGCCAUUAAGUGACAUGCAUCACCUAAAGUGUCCAUUAAAAAAAAAAACCCACCUCAAAGACAUAGUUUAAUUUAAAGAACUAAUGUAAAAUACUAUUUAAUACAAACUAAUUAAAAUUUAGAAUCUCUGAGCUCAGAAUGAUAGGAUUCUGGAAUGGUCGAUGUUCAUUUGUUCUUUCUGUAUAGAAAGCUGUUCAGGAACAGCUGUCCAGUUUAUGACACCAAACUAUGUCAUCAAUUUCCAGCUAUGAUGGAAUACCUGUGUUCCUGCUGGAAAACAAAGAGCCAUUAAAAAAAAAAGUCUUGUUGCAGCCCUGCCAAAGCAGUCAGGACCUAAGGACCGAAGAAAAGGGAACAGCAGAGAGGCGUUUUCUGAUUCUUGAUCUAGAGCAAGACAUGAGACUCUGGGCAGAGAACUGCUACAAGGCAGAUGAUUAACCAGCUAAAAACAUUAACUCUUAUAAAGAGAUAAUUAAGUGAAGAAAAAGUAAAACAGAGGCAUAUAAAAGUCACUAAUUAUAUAUAUGAUAUAAUUAUAUAUCAAUGUCCAGCCACUGGACCAACAUGUAUGCCCAACUAGGGGGCAGGGAAAUCAAUCUCCCCUUCCCACAAGUGACCCCCAAGGGACCGUGACCUCUGCACCCCAAUGUACACAGUACCUGGAUCAGGGGUGGGUGAGAGGCUCACCCCCCCACCCAGAGUCACCUGCCUAACACACUGUGGUACAGCCAGCCCAGGAUGCCACCUUGGAGUGCACAUCCUGUCCCAAGAUGGUGUGGAGCACAUCAGUUCUACUUUACUUCUUCUGGUGGGAAGGGGCAGGAAGGGGAGGCUGGGCAUGUCCUGAGGCAGCAGGGAAUGAGAGGGUGGGUGGUUGAGAGCCUGUGUGAGGGAGGGCAGUUGAGAUGGGCCCUCCUGUGGGCCAAGUCUCCAAGCCAUUAGUACAUGCUCCACUGGCUCACUUAUUUUAAAAACAUAAGUCAAAGAUAAAAUUAAGAAUUUCAAGACAACACCAUUAACCCCAAGCACAAGACCCUUGUGAGCAUGAGGCUCUGUAACUGCAUUGGUGGCAUCCUUGGGACGCAGGCCUUGGUUGGAAGUGUUUUCUUCAAGGUUAUGGAGCCUGGUCAUCAUGUUACUUGAGUCCUCUUCCUGUGCUAAGUUCUUUCCUGCUUCAGCCUUUGGUUUUCGAUGUUUUGUGCGUCGUUUUAAAACACAUCGUUCUUUUUCUUGCUAGUAAUUAGUUUUACCAAUUCCCCAUGUCUGAAACCUUCUGAUAGAAAAAUAAUAGAAUAGAAAAAUAGAAAAAGUUGAAUGAAUGUACUGCUAAUUUUCAGGGAUAGUGCGUCAAUAUUCUUAAUUUAAAUAAAAAAAUACGUCUUAAUUGAUUUUAACAGGGUUGGGUUAAAUUUUGUCUCUGUGAUUCCCCAUUCUUUAUUUUGAUCAUCAAAGUCACGAUUUAAUUCUCCGAGGGACCUCUUCUAAUGUACUAGUUUUCAUGGUUUAAGUGGAAAAUUAGAAUAUCACACUGGUUUGCAAAUCUGGGUCUGAUGAAUGAGAAUAUUGUAAAUUGAAGCUCUACUUGGAAAAA